AGGACGAACGCUGGCGGCGUGCCUAACACAUGCAAGUCGAACGAGGUCCAUGCAGUGGCAACACUGCGGAAGACCUAGUGGCGAACGGGUGAGUAACACGUGAGGAACUUGCCCCGGAGACCGGGAUAACCCUCCGAAAGGAGAGCUAAUACCGGAUGUCCUCACCGAGCCGCAUGGCUUGGUGAAGAAAUGGAUUCCGCUCCGGGAGAGCCUCGCGGCCUAUCAGCUAGUUGGUGGGUAACGGCCACCAAGGCAUCGACGGGUAGCUGGUCUGAGAGGACGAUCAGCCACACUGGGACUGAGACACGGCCCAGACUCCUACGGGAGGCAGCAGUGGGGAAUCUUGCGCAAUGGGCGAAAGCCUGACGCAGCAACGCCGCGUGCGGGAUGAAGGCCUUCGGUGUAAACCGCUUUCAGUGGGACGAACCAAGACGGUACCACAGAAGAAGCCCCGGCAACUACGUGCCAGCAGCCGCGGU
Molecule: ribosomal RNA, 479 nt
Filed under: uncultured soil bacterium
Lineage: Bacteria
Description: bacterial SSU rRNA
Rfam family: Bacterial small subunit ribosomal RNA
Source: RNAcentral